RNAcentral lists this ribosomal RNA (757 nucleotides) under Candidatus Phytoplasma cynodontis. RNAcentral describes it as "bacterial SSU rRNA". It matches the Rfam family "Bacterial small subunit ribosomal RNA", at positions 388 to 1155 of the family's 1533-position model. Lineage: Bacteria; Bacillati; Mycoplasmatota; Mollicutes; Acholeplasmatales; Acholeplasmataceae. The record is from RNAcentral.
CGAGCAAGGCCGCGUGAACGAUGAAGUAUUUCGGUAUGUAAAGUUCUUUUAUUGAAGAAGAAAAAAUAGUGGAAAAACUAUCUUGACGAUAUUCAAUGAAUAAGCCCCGGCAAACUAUGUGCCAGCAGCCGCGGUAAUACAUAGGGGGCGAGCGUUAUCCGGAAUUAUUGGGCGUAAAGGGUGCGUAGGCGGUUUGGUAAGUCUAUAGUUUAAUUUCAGUGCUUAACACUGUUCUGCUAUAGAAACUAUCAGACUAGAGUGAGAUAGAGGCAAGUGGAAUUCCAUGUGUAGCGGUAAAAUGCGUAAAUAUAUGGAGGAACACCAGAGGCGUAGGCGGCUUGCUGGGUCUUUACUGACGCUGAGGCACGAAAGCGUGGGGAGCAAACAGGAUUAGAUACCCUGGUAGUCCACGCCGUAAACGAUGAGUACUAAGUGUCGGGGAAACUCGGUACUGAAGUUAACACAUUAAGUACUCCGCCUGAGUAGUACGUACGCAAGUAUGAAACUUAAAGGAAUUGACGGGACUCCGCACAAGCGGUGGAUCAUGUUGUUUAAUUCGAAGAUACACGAAAAACCUUACCAGGUCUUGACAUACUCUGCAAAGCUAUAGCAAUAUAGUGGAGGUUAUCAGGGAUACAGGUGGUGCAUGGUUGUCGUCAGCUCGUGUCGUGAGAUGUUAGGUUAAGUCCUAAAACGAGCGCAACCCUUGUCACUAGUUGCCAGCAUGUUAUGAUGGGCACUUUAACGAGACUGCCAA